UAUAUAAUUUCUGUGUUUGAGGGAGCUUCUGUCUCUUAUAGAUCCUAGGUCCACCCAUAUGAGGAAAUCAGGUUAUAUUAUUAAGGGAGCUAACCAAGACUAAGUUGCUGAGAUAAUAUACAUAACUACCUAUCAUUGAAAAAAAAUUGUCUCGCUAUAAAUAUUAAUGUUUCCUAGCAUCUAUAUUGCUGCAAUAGAUUGUGUACAAUUUUAUAUACAUUAUUAUUACAUAUAAUGAUACCAUAUUGCCAUUAACCCGUCAUUGGUAUAUGGUUAGCGUUUCGCGAACAUUCAACUUAUAUUAGAAA
Cinara cedri is the source of this 308-nucleotide non-coding RNA. NCBI's taxonomy places the organism in Eukaryota, Metazoa, Arthropoda, Insecta, Hemiptera, Aphididae. The record is from the annotation of a GenBank genome assembly.